GUAGGUGGCAAGCGUUGUCCGGAAUUAUUGGGCGUAAAGCGCGCGCAGGCGGUUCUUUAAGUCUGAUGUGAAAGCCCACGGCUCAACCGUGGAGGGUCAUUGGAAACUGGAGAACUUGAGUACAGAAGAGGCAAGCGGAAUUCCACGUGUAGCGGUGAAAUGCGUAGAGAUGUGGAGGAACACCAGUGGCGAAGGCGGCUUUCUGGUCUGUAACUGACGCUGAGGCGCGAAAGCGUGGGGAGCAAACAGGAUUAGAUACCCUGGUAGUCCACGCCGUAAACGAUGAGUGCUAAGUGUUAGGGGGGUUUCCGCCCCCCUUAGUGCUGCAGCUAACGCAUUAAGCACUCCGCCUGGGAGUACGGCCGCAAGGCUG
RNAcentral lists this ribosomal RNA (373 nucleotides) under uncultured organism. Its description in RNAcentral is "partial 16S ribosomal RNA". It matches the Rfam family "Bacterial small subunit ribosomal RNA", at positions 527 to 896 of the family's 1533-position model. The record is from RNAcentral.